GUGGGGAAUCUUAGACAAUGGGGAAAACCCUGAUCUAGCCAUGCCGCGUGAGCGAUGAAGGCCUUAGGGUUGUAAAGCUCUUUCAGAGGGGAAGAUAAUGACGGUACCCUCAGAAGAAGCCCCGGCUAACUCCGUGCCAGCAGCCGCGGUAAUACGGAGGGGGCUAGCGUUGUUCGGAAUUACUGGGCGUAAAGCGCACGUAGGCGGACCAGAAAGUCAGGGGUGAAAUCCCGGGGCUCAACCCCGGAACUGCCUUUGAAACUCCUGGUCUUGAGGUCGAGAGAGGUGAGUGGAAUUCCGAGUGUAGAGGUGAAAUUCGUAGAUAUUCGGAGGAACACCAGUGGCGAAGGCGGCUCACUGGCUCGAUACUGACGCUGAGGUGCGAAAGCGUGGGGAGCAAACAGGAUUAGAAACCCCGGUAGUCC
Molecule: ribosomal RNA, 425 nt
Filed under: uncultured bacterium
Lineage: Bacteria
Description: bacterial SSU rRNA
Rfam family: Bacterial small subunit ribosomal RNA
Source: RNAcentral